GUACACUCCUGCGGGAGGCAGCAGUGGGGAAUUUUGGACAAUGGGGGCAACCCUGAUCCAGCAAUGCCGCGUGAGUGAAGAAGGCCUUCGGGUUGUAAAGCUCUUUUGUCAGGGAAGAAACGGUAGUAGCGAAUAACUAUUACUAAUGACGGUACCUGAAGAAUAAGCACCGGCUAACUACGUGCCAGCAGCCGCGGUAAUACGUAGGGUGCAAGCGUUAAUCGGAAUUACUGGGCGUAAAGCGUGCGCAGGCGGUUGUGUAAGUCAGAUGUGAAAUCCCCGGGCUCAACCUGGGAAUUGCAUUUGAGACUGCACGGCUAGAGUGUGUCAGAGGGGGGUAGAAUUCCACGUGUAGCAGUGAAAUGCGUAGAUAUGUGGAGGAAUACCGAUGGCGAAGGCAGCCCCCUGGGAUAACACUGACGCUCAUGCACGAAAGCGUGGGGAGCAAACAGGAUUAGAAACCCCUGUAGUCC
Molecule: ribosomal RNA, 473 nt
Filed under: uncultured organism
Description: partial 16S ribosomal RNA
Rfam family: Bacterial small subunit ribosomal RNA
Source: RNAcentral